RNAcentral lists this long non-coding RNA (803 nucleotides) under Neodiprion pinetum (white pine sawfly). RNAcentral describes it as "uncharacterized LOC124211391". The record is from RNAcentral. Lineage: Eukaryota; Metazoa; Arthropoda; Insecta; Hymenoptera; Diprionidae.
GAAGACCGCCUGCGCUCUUUCUAGUUCAAUCUUCAACCUCCAGGUGGAGACGGCUGCGGUUUUCAAUUGUUUACGGCGGUCACGGAUAUUUCAAUCUCAUCAUAUACUUGAUCGAACACACCUAAGGCAGACCAUUUCGCGGGAUAUACUGAAAGUAACAGAUGAGUGCGAAAAUAUUGUCGGUACAGUGCAGUGAAUCCCCCAAUUCAAUGUUACCAACAGCGAAACAUCCACCUCGUUUUUUCCUGAAGUUAAAUACUAUUUUGAGAGCACCAUGCAGUUCUACAAAACACAGAUGAAAAAUAUAACAAUCAUAUCUUGAAGAAUUGAAGUUUCAUGGAGGAAAAAGUAUUGUUUUUGGCAGUGAAAGGGCAAAUGCAUCAAAGUUGUCAGGUACGUGUGGAACCCUGCAAGUCCCAAAAUACUCCAAACGGAGAAAAAACAAACGACACCAACGACCACGCUACCAGGAGAUACUUUUACAGCAUCUAGGAACGCUAUAUUAUCUCUUGUGACUUUUCUUAAAACCAAAUUGAAAACUACAACUUUAGCCCCAAAAAGAGUUUAAAAAAAUGUUCGCAAUUCCUACAUAAUAGAAUUUCGCUGCCAAUGGGCUAAAUGACGUUAAAGAUUUGAAAAAUAAAUAUGAGCUACUUACGCAUUAUGAGUUUGGCCGAUUUGUUACCAGUAAAUAAUGUGACAGUGAUAGAGGGCACGUAUUUCAAAAGUGUCUCAGGCUGAAUUGUAAACGGAAGAUCCUAACCGCCACGUUUCCUGGUGCGAUUUCCAGAGGAUAAUGGUUG